RNAcentral lists this ribosomal RNA (283 nucleotides) under uncultured microorganism. RNAcentral's name for it is "partial 16S ribosomal RNA". It matches the Rfam family "Bacterial small subunit ribosomal RNA", at positions 346 to 616 of the family's 1533-position model. The record is from RNAcentral.
GCGCACCAGGCGAGAAUCUUCCACAAUGGGGAAACCCUGAUGGAGCGACGCCGCGUGCGGGAUGAAGGCCCUAUGGGUUGUAAACCGCUGUUCAGUGGGAAGAACAUCCUCCGGCUGAAUAGGUCGGAGGCCUGACGUUACCACUGCAGAAAGUCCCGGCCAACUCCGUGCCAGCAGCCGCGGUAAUACGGGGGGACGGAGCGUUGUCCGGAAUCAUUGGGCGGUAAAAGGGCGCGUAGGCGGCGAGGAAAGUCGAAUGUGAAAUCUUGCGGCGUCAACUAGC